AUUGAACGCUGGCGGCAUGCCUUACACAUGCAAGUCGAACGGCAGCACGGGAGCUUGCUCCUGGUGGCGAGUGGCGAACGGGUGAGUAAUACAUCGGAACGUACCCUGAAGUGGGGGAUAACGUAGCGAAAGUUACGCUAAUACCGCAUAUUCUGUGAGCAGGAAAGGGGGGGAUCGCAAGACCUCUUGCUUUAGGAGCGGCCGAUGUCGGAUUAGCUAGUUGGUGAGGUAAAGGCUCACCAAGGCGACGAUCCGUAGCGGGUCUGAGAGGAUGAUCCGCCACACUGGGACUGAGACACGGCCCAGACUCCUACGGGAGGCAGCAGUGGGGAAUUUUGGACAAUGGGCGCAAGCCUGAUCCAGCCAUGCCGCGUGAGUGAAGAAGGCC
This 388-nucleotide ribosomal RNA is filed under the name uncultured bacterium. RNAcentral's name for it is "bacterial SSU rRNA". It matches the Rfam family "Bacterial small subunit ribosomal RNA", at positions 30 to 416 of the family's 1533-position model. The record is from RNAcentral.